Molecule: ribosomal RNA, 207 nt
Filed under: uncultured bacterium
Lineage: Bacteria
Description: partial 16S ribosomal RNA
Rfam family: Bacterial small subunit ribosomal RNA
Source: RNAcentral
CACGUAGGGCGCAAGCGUUGUCCGGAAUUAUUGGGCGUAAAGAGCUCGUAGGUGGUUUGUUACGUCUGCUGUGAAAACCUAGGGCUUAACCCCUGGGCUUGCAGCUGGAUACGGGCAGACUAGAAGUGAGUAGGGGAGAAUGGAAUUCCUGGUGUAGCGGUGAAAUGCGCAGAUAUCAGGAGGAACACCGAGUGGCGAAGGCAGGCC